CACUUGAGGUGUGCCAGCAGCCGCGGUAAUACGGAGGAUCCGAGCGUUAUCCGGAUUUAUUGGGUUUAAAGGGAGCGUAGGCGGAUUGUUAAGUCAGUUGUGAAAGUUUGCGGCUCAACCGUAAAAUUGCAGUUGAUACUGGCAGUCUUGAGUGCAGUAGAGGUGGGCGGAAUUCGUGGUGUAGCGGUGAAAUGCUUAGAUAUCACGAAGAACUCCGAUUGCGAAGGCAGCUCACUGGAGUGUAACUGACGCUGAUGCUCGAAAGUGUGGGUAUCAAACAGG
RNAcentral lists this ribosomal RNA (282 nucleotides) under Bacteroides caccae. Its description in RNAcentral is "partial 16S ribosomal RNA". It matches the Rfam family "Bacterial small subunit ribosomal RNA", at positions 495 to 776 of the family's 1533-position model. The record is from RNAcentral. Lineage: Bacteria; Pseudomonadati; Bacteroidota; Bacteroidia; Bacteroidales; Bacteroidaceae.